AGCGAACGCUGGCGGCAUGCCUAACACAUGCAAGUCGAGCGCUCCCAGCAAUGGGGAGCGGCGGACGGGUGAGUAACGCGUAGGAACGUAUCCUGAGGUGGGGGAGUAACCCUGGGAAACUAGGGCUAAUACCGCAUGAUGGCGAGAGCCCAAAGAUUUAUCGCCUUGGGAGCGGCCUGCGUCUGAUUAGCUUGUUGGUGGGGUAACGGCCUACCAAGGCGAUGAUCAGUAGCUGGUCUGAGAGGAUGAUCAGCCACACUGGGACUGAGACACGGCCCAGACUCCUACGGGAGGCAGCAGUGGGGAAUAUUGGACAAUGGGCGAAAGCCUGAUCCAGCAAUGCCGCGUGGAUGAAGAAGGUCUUCGGAUUGUAAAGUCCUUUCGGCGGGGACGAUGAUGACGGUACCCGCAGAAGAAGCCCC
This 422-nucleotide ribosomal RNA is filed under the name uncultured bacterium. RNAcentral's name for it is "bacterial SSU rRNA". It matches the Rfam family "Bacterial small subunit ribosomal RNA", at positions 29 to 494 of the family's 1533-position model. The record is from RNAcentral.